AGACGUUGUUUAGAGUUCUUCUGUUAGCACAGCUGUUUCUAGGGUCUGGAAAAACUCUAAGGACCCCCAGGAGGAUACACACCAGAUUGGGUCUGGGCUCACACCACCCUGCAUCCCCAGAGCCUCCCUGGACGCUGUUUGCAAGGUCCUCACCGCCUGGAAGUCCAGGAGCCAUUUUUAGGGAACAGCAUUCAAACUCAACACGAAACGAAACUCAACCGAAAGCCUGCAGAGAGCAGAACAUGGAAGGAGACUUCUCGGUGUGCAGGAACUGUAAAAGACAUGUAGUCUCUGCCAACUUCACCCUCCAUGAGGCUUACUGCCUGCGGUUCCUGGUCCUGUGUCCGGAGUGUGAGGAGCCUGUCCCCAAGGAAACCACGGAGGAGCACUGCAAGGUGGAGCACCAGCAGGUGAGGAGGCGGCAGGGAGGAUGGGGUCUGAGAGUCAAGGCGAGUGUUCAGUCCUCCCUGCAGGAGAGAUGGGGUCUGAGAGGUGGGGGAUGAGGGUCUAGUCCUCCCUGCAGGUGAGAUGGGGUCUGGGAGUCAAGGUGAGUGUUCAGUCCUCCCUGCAGGUGAAAUGGGGUCUGGGAGGGGCAAGUGUUCCAUCUUCCCUGCAGGAGAGAUGGGGUCUGGGAGUCACGGAGUGGGUCCAGUCCUCCCUGCAGGAGAGAUGGGGUCUGGGAGUCACGGAGUGGGUUCAGUCCUCCCUGCAGUUGAAAUGGGGUCUGGGAGGGGCAAGUGUUCCAUCUUCCCUGCAGGAGAGAUGGGGUCUGGGAGUCACGGAGUGGGUCCAGUCCU
This 797-nucleotide small RNA is filed under the name Pan troglodytes (chimpanzee). RNAcentral describes it as "retained intron". The record is from RNAcentral. Lineage: Eukaryota; Metazoa; Chordata; Mammalia; Primates; Hominidae.